This 491-nucleotide ribosomal RNA is filed under the name Priestia aryabhattai. Its description in RNAcentral is "bacterial SSU rRNA". It matches the Rfam family "Bacterial small subunit ribosomal RNA", at positions 128 to 605 of the family's 1533-position model. The record is from RNAcentral. Lineage: Bacteria; Bacillati; Bacillota; Bacilli; Caryophanales; Bacillaceae.
GCCUGUAAGACUGGGAUAACUUCGGGAAACCGAAGCUAAUACCGGAUAGGAUCUUCUCCUUCAUGGGAGAUGAUUGAAAGAUGGUUUCGGCUAUCACUUACAGAUGGGCCCGCGGUGCAUUAGCUAGUUGGUGAGGUAACGGCUCACCAAGGCAACGAUGCAUAGCCGACCUGAGAGGGUGAUCGGCCACACUGGGACUGAGACACGGCCCAGACUCCUACGGGAGGCAGCAGUAGGGAAUCUUCCGCAAUGGACGAAAGUCUGACGGAGCAACGCCGCGUGAGUGAUGAAGGCUUUCGGGUCGUAAAACUCUGUUGUUAGGGAAGAACAAGUACGAGAGUAACUGCUCGUACCUUGACGGUACCUAACCAGAAAGCCACGGCUAACUACGUGCCAGCAGCCGCGGUAAUACGUAGGUGGCAAGCGUUAUCCGGAAUUAUUGGGCGUAAAGCGCGCGCAGGCGGUUUCUUAAGUCUGAUGUGAAAGCCCAC